This 427-nucleotide ribosomal RNA is filed under the name uncultured bacterium. RNAcentral's name for it is "bacterial SSU rRNA". It matches the Rfam family "Bacterial small subunit ribosomal RNA", at positions 966 to 1392 of the family's 1533-position model. The record is from RNAcentral.
AGACCUUACCCAGAUUUGAAAUGCAGAGGACAGUCCCCGAAAAGGGAUCUCCCGUAAGGGCCUUUGCACAGGUGCUGCAUGGCUGUCGUCAGCUCGUGCCGUGAGGUGUUGGGUUAAGUCCCGCAACGAGCGCAACCCUUAUCUCUAGUUGCCAGCAUGUAAAGGUGGGGACUCUAGAGAGACUGCCUGCGCAAGCAGAGAGGAAGGAGGGGAUGACGUCAAGUCAUCAUGGCCCUUACGCCCAGGGCUACACACGUGCUACAAUGGCGCUUACAGAGUGUUGCGAGCAGGUGACUGCGAGCCAAUCACAAAAAGAGCGUCUCAGUUCGGAUUGCAGGCUGCAACUCGCCUGCAUGAAGUUGGAAUCGCUAGUAAUCGCGCAUCAGCAAUGGCGCGGUGAAUACGUUCCCGGGCCUUGUACACACCG